GAUGAACGCUGGCGGCGUGCCUAAUACAUGCAAGUCGAGCGAACAGAUAAGGAGCUUGCUCCUUUGACGUUAGCGGCGGACGGGUGAGUUACACGUGGAUAACCUACCUUUAAGACUGGGAUAACUUCGGGAAACUGGUGCUAAUACCGGAUAACAUAUUGAACCGCAUGGUUCAAUAGUGAAAGGCGGCUUUGCUGUCACUUAUAGAUGGAUCCGCGCCGUAUUAGCUAGUUGGUAAGGUAACGGCUUACCAAGGCAACGAUACGUAGCAGACCUGAGAGGGUGAUCGGCCACACUAGAACUGAGACACCGUCCAGACUCCUACGGGAGGCAGCAGUAGGGAUUCUUCCGCAGUAGUCAAAAGCCUGACGGAGCAGCGCCGCAUGAGUGAGGAGGGGCUUCUGAUCGUAGAACUCUGUGAUCAGGGAAGAACAAAUGUGUAAGUAACUAUGCACAUCUUGACGGUACCUGAUCAGAAAGCCACGGCUAACUCCGUG
RNAcentral lists this ribosomal RNA (497 nucleotides) under uncultured bacterium. Its description in RNAcentral is "partial 16S ribosomal RNA". It matches the Rfam family "Bacterial small subunit ribosomal RNA", at positions 28 to 507 of the family's 1533-position model. The record is from RNAcentral.